RNAcentral lists this unclassified non-coding RNA (438 nucleotides) under Harpegnathos saltator (Jerdon's jumping ant). RNAcentral's name for it is "leucine-rich repeat serine/threonine-protein kinase 1, transcript variant X4". Lineage: Eukaryota; Metazoa; Arthropoda; Insecta; Hymenoptera; Formicidae. The record is from RNAcentral.
UACUCGUUGCAUGCCGUUCGUGCAACGGUCUCGUUUGCAUCUCUCGGCUCAAUUACAGGAUCCGUCAGUCGUGCUGCGCGAUCAUCGCGCGCAAUGGUGUUUUGUUGUGGUUGGGGUAAUAUUUCGACUUGCAGUGAUGUCGACCACGAUGUGACUGCAUUUUUCCAACCUCGGCGAUACGUUCAAAGAGUGACACUCCGGUCCGGGCGCGCUCGGCGCCCACGCUGAUCCUAACCGAGGUGCGCCGAAUGAUGAAGGCUGAACGAUGCUCCGGUGAGACAAAUUAAUUGAAAUGCGCAAGCGAAUAUAACAUUCUGAACGAAACAAUGAAGAGUCCUUUGGAAAUUCACCGAAUGAGAAAAUAAACACCAUGCAACAUCCCAAAAAAGCUGUAUUGCUAAUGUAUCAAUUGUUCUAUACAUUUGAUGCAGAAGUCAC